AGAGCGGGAGCCCGGAGAUGGGCACUGAGAUAAGGGCCCAGGCCCUACGGGGCGCAGCAGUUGCGAAAACUCCGCAAUGCGCGAAAGCGUGACGGGGCUACCCCGAGUGCCGUCCGCUGAGGACGGCUUUUCCACGGUGUAAGGAGCCGUGGGAAUAAGGAGAGGGCAAGCCUGGUGUCAGCCGCCGCGGUAAAACCAGCUCUCCGAGUGGUGGGGACGAUUAUUGGGCUUAAAGCGUUCGUAGCCGGCUCAGCAAGUCUUCCGUUAAAUCCAGCGAUUUAAUCGUUGGGCUGCGGAAGAUACUGUUGGGCUAGGGGACGGGAGAAGCCGACGGUAUUCUCGGGGUAGGGGCGAAAUCCUAUAAUCCCGGGAGGACCACCAGUGGCGAAGGCGGUCGGCU
Molecule: ribosomal RNA, 400 nt
Filed under: uncultured archaeon
Lineage: Archaea
Description: bacterial SSU rRNA
Rfam family: Archaeal small subunit ribosomal RNA
Source: RNAcentral